UAUAAAUUUCGAUUUAUGUACAUGGAGAAUUGGGGUACGUUCGGGGAGCACGCUACUAAUGCUACCGCGUUCUUUUUAUUACUCCUUAGAUAUACAAGGAUAGAACGAUACGGUGGCGCUGAAUAGCGCUAAUAGCGAGCUUCCCGAACGCAUCUUUGGUAUGAAAAGAAUUUUGACGCCAGACAUUAUUGCCGCCACUUCCUUUUUUCUACGUGCAAUCAAUAUAAUAUUACGUGCAAUAUUUUCGUGCAACAUACAAACCUUACAAAUUUGGUACACGGAGUACUCGCCAAACAUAUGGACCAGCUAAAACGUAAUGUUGCCAAAUCUCAGCGAUAUCUCACCACAUCUUCUGAUGAAGCUCCACCAAAAAAAAAGAGGCAACAAAAGUUUCUGCGGACAUUGAAGAUGUUGAUGAUGACAUAAGAAGACAGCUAGAAGAACAUUCUGAUGAAUGUGAUAGUGUUAUUCACAAUGUUUCUGCACAAAUGUUCCAACAAAUGCACUUGCAGCCACAAAGCAGAGUCAGAGAGAAUACAAACUAUGAAUAAGAAUAUUGAGGACCACCUUGAACGUGUAGAAACAGAACUCAAAAAGAUGAAUGCAUUGCUAUAAAAAAUUGUGAAAAGUGUGCAGAAUUCAAAUACUUUAACGUAUAAACCGAAAUAUUUUCCAAUAACAUCCAAGGAAAAUAUGGAUGCUUUUGAAGAAAUAGAUGACGACGAGUGUCAAUAUACCAAUGUGGUAGGGCAAGAAUUUUUUCGUCACAUCUGUUUAGUAUUACUUAAAGUAAUUAUCAAGCAAUUACAUAGUAAUUCAUAAAAGUUCAAUAUUUCUUCAACAUUGAUGGCUUUAAUGUCAAGGAAACUGUAAACUUAUAUCUUAAAGAAAGCAUGUUAGAUAAUCUCGCACUUUCUUUCACCUGGUUAGAUAAUCUCGCACUUUCUUUCACUAAUCCUCGCAAGGGAGGAUUACCUUUAUAUAAGAUACGGCUCGUAAAGUUAAUUUAUGAUGCAGUGUGUAAAAAUAAAUAUUUUCCAAAACCGACUCGAUCAGAGUUCCAGCGGCACAUGAUCGAAGCUCUUCGAGCUGCGAAAGAAAGAGUUCGUUUCCGGAACAAACCUCGUGGCGAACGUGUUUUAGUCGCGCGAGAAAAUGAUCGUGAUUUUUGGAAUGCUGACGACACACAGUCUACGGACGAAGAUUAAAUAUGUAAUGCCAUUUCGGAACGCAGAGCAAGAGUGUUAACGGCACUUUAUUACAGAAUUCGCUCCGUUAUUUCUCUUACAAUCUUCUACAAUCUCACGCAUGUCUUAACGCGAAUUUUCCGAUUGACUAGGAAAAAAGAAUAUAUCGGGCUUGAUUAAUGAAAAACCUUUUUUUUUUU
This is an RNA transcript of Odontomachus brunneus, 1387 nucleotides long. RefSeq lists it as uncharacterized. The record is from RefSeq and is a predicted model, not a curated record. Lineage: Eukaryota; Metazoa; Arthropoda; Insecta; Hymenoptera; Formicidae. The transcript is spliced from 6 exons.